AGCAGAAAUAGCUUCCAAAGGUUGUAUGCAGAUUUAGUGUUGAAUUAAAUGCAGCAGAAAUAGCCUCCAAAGUUUGUAUGCAGAUUUAGUAUUAAUUGCAGAGGAAAUAGUUUCAAGAGUGUUUAACAAUGGUUAGCUUAUAAUUACAACUGAGAAGUACUUAGCUUAAUAGUAGUAGUUCCAGAGAACUGGGGAGAUCAAUUUAAGCAGUCUUUUAGGAGAGAGAGUAGAAGUCCAUUAAACAGUCCGGGUCGAGGAGUGGAGAAGGCGGGUAGUCAUUCACAGAGCGGGUUCGG
This is a non-coding RNA of Pelobates cultripes (western spadefoot toad), 296 nucleotides long. The record is from the annotation of a GenBank genome assembly. NCBI's taxonomy places the organism in Eukaryota, Metazoa, Chordata, Amphibia, Anura, Pelobatidae.